Molecule: non-coding RNA, 499 nt
Organism: Cyanistes caeruleus (blue tit)
Lineage: Eukaryota; Metazoa; Chordata; Aves; Passeriformes; Paridae
Source: RefSeq, a predicted model, not a curated record
AUCGCAUCUAUCAGCAAAGCUCGGAUAUCAUCAGCCUGAAAAACAGAAAGAACACCCAGCAUGAGGUCCUACUAUCUCAGAAAGCCCUAUUGAGAGACUCACAGCAUGAAGUGCUGGGUGGGAGAACUGAAGAAACUUUGUGAGGAAAAGGCAGAGCUUGUGAAACUUGCCAGCUAUGAACUUGUGAAACCAGUACUCAUCUCCUCUCUACAUCCCAUCACAGAGAUCUGAACAGACUGAUGACAGCUCAGAGAGAAGUGUGGGAUGCCAGGAAAGACCAGGAGAGAAGGAGCACAAGUCAAGAGGAGUCAAACUCAACAUCCACAACUCAGCAGAACUGACAAUACUGCCAGCUGGCAUAGGAGACACAGCAGGAGAAACCCUGAGUAAACUGCAGUGUGAGCAUAUAUCCACAGACACCUAAAGACUUUACAUCUGUGUCACCUUAAGGGCAUAUUUAGCUCUUAUCUUGUGAAUGAAUGAUUUUUUAAAAAGUAAA